Molecule: non-coding RNA, 99 nt
Filed under: Bacillota bacterium
Lineage: Bacteria; Bacillati; Bacillota
Description: Firmicutes bacterium Guanine sequence
Rfam family: Purine riboswitch aptamer
About the family: Riboswitches are metabolite binding domains within certain messenger RNAs that serve as precision sensors for their corresponding targets. Allosteric rearrangement of mRNA structure is mediated by ligand binding, and this results in modulation of gene expression.
Source: RNAcentral
UAAUGACACAAAGCUUUACGACGUAUAGGUCCGCAACAUCGGCGCGGACGUCUCUACCCGCCGGCCUGUCGGCGGACUACCUCGGAAGUGUUUUUUUAU